RNAcentral lists this ribosomal RNA (1080 nucleotides) under Triticum aestivum (bread wheat). RNAcentral's name for it is "partial small subunit ribosomal RNA". The record is from RNAcentral. Lineage: Eukaryota; Viridiplantae; Streptophyta; Magnoliopsida; Poales; Poaceae.
AUGGCGUACGCGUCGCCGUACGUGCUCUCGUUCCUGCUGCUGCUGUCCAUGCCGGCGGUCUACUACCUCGGGCCGCGCCUGCUGCUGCCCAAGACGCUCCCGGCCAUCCCGGACGCCGACGAGACGGAGGACCUCGCGCUCUUCCGCCGCGCCGUGCUCCUCUCGUCCGCGCCCGCCGCCGGCUCCGGCGCGGCGCCCUCCUCCUUCGGCGUGUUCGGCCGCCGCCCGCAGGCGCGGCCCAAGGUGGCCUUCCUCUUCCUCACCAACUCCGACCUCGUCUUCGCGCCGCUCUGGGAGAAGUUCUUCGCGGGGCACCACGGCCUGCUCAACCUCUACGUCCACGCCGACCCCGCCGCCAACCUCACGCUGCCCCCGACCCCGUCCUUCCGCGGCCGCAUCAUCCGGGGCAAGGCCACGGCGCGCGCCUCCGCCACGCUCAUCUCCGCCGCGCGCCGCCUCCUCGCCACCGCGCUGCUCGACGACCCGGCCAACCAGUUCUUCGCGCUGCUCUCCCAGUCCUGCGUCCCGCUCCUCCCCUUCCCCGCCCUCUACCGCACCCUCCUCACCGACAACAAUGCCGGCCGCCACCGCCGCCACCGCAGCUUCAUCGAGAUCCUGGACAGCGAGCCCACGCUGCACGCCCGCUACUACGCGCGCGGCGACAACGUGAUGCUCCCGGAGGUGCCCUUCGACCGCUUCCGCGUCGGCUCCCAGUUCUUCGUGCUCGCCAGGCGCCACGCCGUCAUGGUGGUCAGGGACAGGAGGCUCUGGAACAAGUUCAAGGCGCCGUGCCUCGUCAAGGAGAAGGACUCGUGCUACCCGGAGGAGCACUACUUCCCGACGCUGCUCGACAUGCAGGACCCCGACGGCUGCACCAAGUACACCCUCACCAGGGUCAACUGGACCGACGCCGUCGGCGGCCACCCGCACACCUACCAGCCGGAGGAGGUCUCCGGGGACCUCAUCAGGGAGCUCAGGAAGUCCAACGGGACCUACUCCCACAUGUUCGCGCGCAAGUUCGCGCCGGAGACCCUUGCGCCGCUCAUGGAGAUCGCCGACUCCGUCAUCCUCCGUGACUAG